AUAGAGACUCAGAGCUGCAUAUCAAUAAGCGGAGGAAAAGAAACUAACAAGGAUUCCCUUAGUAACGGCGAGUGAAGCGGGAAGAGCUCAAAUUUGAAAUCUUCAAGGUUCUACCUUGACGAAUUGUAGUUUAUGGAAGUGUUUUCUGUUAGUAGAGUGGCAAAAGUUCUUUGGAAUAGGACAUCAUAGAGGGUGAGAAUCCCGUAUUUGGUCAUUCUUUCUAGCUUUGUGAUACACUUUCAACGAGUCGGAUUGUUUGGGAAUGCAGUCCGAAAUGGGUGGUAAAUUUCAUCUAAAGCUAAAUAUUGGCGAGAGACCGAUAGCGAACAAGUACCGUGAGGGAAAGAUGAAAAGAACUUUGAAAAGAGAGUUAAACAGUACGUGAAAUUGUCAAAAGGGAAGCGUUCGACACCAGUGUUGUUUUUCCGAAAAUCAAUUACGAAUGUUUUGUUUUUGAGAAGUUAUGACUUCAUCGGCUUGCUUCUCUCUUUACGAAACUUUCUUAAUGCACUUUUCGGUUAACAAGUCAACAUCAAUUUCUUUUGUUGUAAAAGGGUAUGAGGAAGGUGGCUUUCUUUUCGGAGAAAGUGUUUAUAGCCUUGUACCUCUGCAAUCGGAGAGAUUGAGGUCUGCAGCGUAGAUCCUUCGGGGUUAGAUACAUUUGUGCUAAGUUAUAGCUUUUCAUAGACAACUUGUUGACUAUGUUUAGUCUUGUAGCUUACUCGCUUAUGCUAUUUUACCUACGCUUAGGAUGUUGAUAGUCACAGCGUGUAC
Molecule: ribosomal RNA, 774 nt
Filed under: uncultured Neocallimastigales
Lineage: Eukaryota; Fungi; Neocallimastigomycota; Neocallimastigomycetes; Neocallimastigales
Description: partial large subunit ribosomal RNA
Rfam family: Eukaryotic large subunit ribosomal RNA
Source: RNAcentral